This 1422-nucleotide long non-coding RNA is filed under the name Anser brachyrhynchus (Pink-footed goose). Its description in RNAcentral is "lncRNA (ENSABRG00000002557.1)". Lineage: Eukaryota; Metazoa; Chordata; Aves; Anseriformes; Anatidae. The record is from RNAcentral.
GGCAGACCCGAAAUCCGAUUGCAGCGCCGGGGGUGCCGCCGGGCUCGCCGGCGCCCGGUUAUUCAUUCUCCCGGAGGGAGACCUUUGGACCAUGCAAAGCAUGGGGAGAGUCCGGGCUGGCAUCCUGCCCUCUGGCAGCCCGCUUGGCAGGGCUUGGGCUCGGGGAUUUUUGGGGUGGCAGGAUGCGAGCGGGGGGUUCUGCCUAGGAAGGAUCCACGCUGCGGUGCCAUCUCCUUGUGACGGGGUCCCUAGUGUCCUCCCAGCAGCGUGGGUACUGCUCACUGAGACCUCCUCCCGCGUGUCCCCAGAGCAUCUCCACCUCUAUCCCCACGCUGACCCCACACCGGUGCCGCCGGAGCAGCGUGGAGGAACCGCCGGCGCGCCGGCUCCCAGCUUCCUCCCAAUUAAACCGAUUUCUCGGAUGGCUCCAGCCAUGCAGCAGCUUUGUAGCUGCCACCGCCGGGGUCUCCCUGCCCUCCCCGUCCACCUGCUCACUUGUGUAAUGCGUGGCCCCCAGCCCCGCGGCGGGGACGUGGCCCGGCAGGGGACCGUCCCGCCCGGCCGGCCGAGAACAAGGCAGCGCCGUGCUGGGAUGCGAGCAGCGGGCGCCUCUGAAGCUGCCGCCCCGGGGCCGGACGGUGCCAGCCCGCUGUGCCCAGGAGCCGUGGCGGCGAGCGAAGUGGCACAUCAAAGCCCUCCAAGCUCAGCUCCCUGCGGCCCCCAUCCAGGCACAUGGGGAGGAUUUGGCCGGGGAGAGCGGCAGGUCUGGGGAUGGGGCUCGGGGAUGUGCCGGCAUCCUCCUGCUCCAAGCAUCCUGGCUGCAGGCUGGGUGCCCCUUGCUCCUCCGAGCCGUGUGCCAUCAGCAGAUGACAGGGCAAGGCUCACUGCUGCGGGGACACGAGGAACAGCAGCUGUGCUGGCUGCGCUGCUCACCCCAGGGCACAGGAGCUGUACUCUGCUACCCCCCGGGUGGAUGGACAGCGUGGCUGCAUGGACCUGCACUAACGGGAGGAGGUGCCGAGAUCCCAGUGCAGCAAAACCCCCUGCUCAGCAUCCUCCAGGCAGUCCCGUGCCAAAGGCACCAGAGAUGCAAGGGACGUGAAGCAAGGGUGCAGAUCAGGCAGUGUUUUGGGGAGUUCAGCAGCAGCACUGGACACGGGGUAGAAAGUUGUCUCUGAUGCUGAUAUCACAGGAUGGAAGAAGGAGGGGUCAGGAUGCAUGAACAGCCUGGAUGGCAAAACACCAAGCCACCAGCUCUGGAAGAUGAGGUAAUUAUUGUUAUUGUUGUUAGUGCAAUCACAAUAACAGCCACUGCUUGUUGCAACUGCAUCGCGGCUGGCAUCGCCACCAUCAAGCAGAGCCAGCACCGUGGAGCCGUGCCAGUGACACCUUGCUUCUGUGUCCCCAGCACCCUCCUGAUGG